RNAcentral lists this ribosomal RNA (373 nucleotides) under uncultured organism. RNAcentral describes it as "partial 16S ribosomal RNA". It matches the Rfam family "Bacterial small subunit ribosomal RNA", at positions 527 to 896 of the family's 1533-position model. The record is from RNAcentral.
GUAGGUGGCAAGCGUUGUCCGGAAUUAUUGGGCGUAAAGCGCGCGCAGGCGGUUCUUUAAGUCUGAUGUGAAAGCCCACGGCUCAACCGUGGAGGGUCAUUGGAAACUGGAGAACUUGAGUACAGAAGAGGAAAGCGGAAUUCCACGUGUAGCGGUGAAAUGCGUAGAGAUGUGGAGGAACACCAGUGGCGAAGGCGGCUUUCUGGUCUGUAACUGACGCUGAGGCGCGAAAGCGUGGGGAGCAAACAGGAUUAGAUACCCUGGUAGUCCACGCCGUAAACGAUGAGUGCUAAGUGUUAGGGGGUUUUCCGCCCCCCUUAGUGCUGCAGCGAACGCAUUAAGCACUCCGCCUGGGAGUACGGCCGCAAGGCUG